Molecule: ribosomal RNA, 520 nt
Filed under: uncultured bacterium
Lineage: Bacteria
Description: partial 16S ribosomal RNA
Rfam family: Bacterial small subunit ribosomal RNA
Source: RNAcentral
GACGAACGCUGGCGGCGUGCCUAAUACAUGCGAGUCGAACGCACUCUCGUUUAGAUUGACGGAGUUUGCUCCUGAUUGAUAAACAUUUGAGUGAGUGGCGGACGGGUGAGUAACACGUGGGUAACCUGCCCUAAAGUGGGGGAUAACAUUUGGAAACAGAUGCUAAUACCGCAUAAAACCUAACACCGCAUGGUGUAGGGUUGAAAGAUGGUUUCGGCUAUCACUUUAGGAUGGACCCGCGGUGCAUUAGUUAGUUGGUGAGGUAAAGGCUCACCAAGACCGUGAUGCAUAGCCGACCUGAGAGGGUAAUCGGCCACACUGGGACUGAGACACGGCCCAGACUCCUACGGGAGGCAGCAGUAGGGAAUCUUCCACAAUGGACGAAAGUCUGAUGGAGCAACGCCGCGUGAGUGAAGAAGGUUUUCGGAUCGUAAAACUCUGUUGUUGGAGAAGAAGGUAUCUGAUAGUAACUGAUCAGGUAGUGACGGUAUCCAAACAGAAAGCCACGGCUAACUACGUG